UUCUUUCUUUCCCCCGUUUCUCCUCAUCUUCUUUUCUCCUUCUUCCUCCUUCAACCCUAGCCCAUGCCACAAUGGUUGGCUGCUUUUCUGCCCAAAAGUGGCACUUAGUUUUUGCUCUCCAUUCCCUCUUUUGAAUGCUUCGGUUAAAUUUCUUGAAAAAUUUCCCAAAAGUCACAAAAAUACCUUCAACUUUGGAACUUCUUUAGCAUCGAUCUAAAGAUCUGACCGUUGAACCAUCUUGUAACUUCGAUCACGACUUCUCCUUGGUAUGACGAACUUCUUCACCGCUUAGAUCUCUCAAAUGGGUUAGCUAUUACAACCAUAAUGGUUGGUAUUUGGCCUUUUGCCGAAUCAUUUCUGUAGCCAUGGGGUUUGAGGGUCUUGGUAUUAUAAAGGAGUGAAGGGUUGGUUGAUGAGGGUUAGGAGUUGAUGGUUCUUGUAAGCAAACAAAAUUGUUGUAGAUUUGGGGUUUCUUAUUUCACAAUUUCAAAUAAGUUUUUUUUUUGUUUUAUUUUGUUACUUGGUAUUCUAAUUAGUUUUGGGAUUUUGUUGAAUAUCUAUUUCAAGUAUUCAAUUAAUUAUUUUAUUUGUUUGCA
This 596-nucleotide long non-coding RNA is filed under the name Gossypium raimondii (Peruvian cotton). RNAcentral describes it as "long non-coding RNA (GRAI_LNC001243)". Lineage: Eukaryota; Viridiplantae; Streptophyta; Magnoliopsida; Malvales; Malvaceae. The record is from RNAcentral.